GGAGCAGGCGGCCGCAAGGGUCUGUGGUGAAAGACCGAAGCUAAACUUCGGUGAGCCAUGGAAACCGGGCGGCUAGAGUGCGGAAGAGGAUCGUGGAAUUCCAUGUGUAGCGGUGAAAUGCGUAGAUAUAUGGAGGAACACCAGUGGCGAAGGCGACGGUCUGGGCCGCAACUGACGCUCAUUCCCGAAAGCGUGGGGAGCAAAUA
This 206-nucleotide ribosomal RNA is filed under the name uncultured bacterium. RNAcentral describes it as "partial 16S ribosomal RNA". It matches the Rfam family "Bacterial small subunit ribosomal RNA", at positions 568 to 774 of the family's 1533-position model. The record is from RNAcentral.